AGUGAACGCUGGCGGUAGGCCUAACACAUGCAAGUCGAACGGCAGCACAGUAAGAGCUUGCUCUUACGGGUGGCGAGUGGCGGACGGGUGAGGAAUACAUCGGAAUCUACUUUUUCGUGGGUGAUAACGUAGGGAAACUUACGCUAAUACCGCAUACGACCUACGGGUGAAAGCAGGGGAUCUUCGGACCUUUCGCGAUUGAAUGAGCCGAUGUCGGAUUAGCUAGUUGGCGGGGUAAAGGCUCACCAAGGCGACGAUCCGUAGCUGGUCUGAGAGGAUGAUCAGCCACACUGGAACUGAGACACGGUCCAGACUCCUACGGGAGGCAGCAGUGGGGAAUAUUGGACAAAGGGCGCAAGCCUGAUCCAGCCAUACCGCGUGGGUGAAGAAGGCCUUCGGGUUGUAAAGCCCUUUUGUUGGGAAAGAAAAGCAGCAGGUUAAUACCCCGCUGUUUUGACGGUACCCAAAGAAUAAGCACCGGCUAACUUCGUG
This 492-nucleotide ribosomal RNA is filed under the name uncultured bacterium. RNAcentral's name for it is "partial 16S ribosomal RNA". It matches the Rfam family "Bacterial small subunit ribosomal RNA", at positions 29 to 507 of the family's 1533-position model. The record is from RNAcentral.